Molecule: long non-coding RNA, 2430 nt
Organism: Mangifera indica (mango)
Lineage: Eukaryota; Viridiplantae; Streptophyta; Magnoliopsida; Sapindales; Anacardiaceae
Exons: 3
Source: RefSeq, a predicted model, not a curated record
CACAUUGUUCUGUCAUUUAUGACAAUGUUGUUAGUUUAUUUAAGUGAUUUAACAAUUAUUUCCAGACAGAAUGGGUAACUUAGGUCCUGGUUUGAUUUAUAAAUUUAAAGUUAAACAACAUUCAAACUUGCAUAUGUAUAUUUCUUAUAUAUGGUAAGGGCAAGAUAUGUAUUAGCAUGAAGUUGCCAUUACAUCUGCACACUAGAUUUCAGUAGUUGAUCAUUUGGGGUUGGAUAAAACUGGAACUUUAUAUUGUAGUCAUUUUUCUGAUGACUGAUUGGUUUGGGUUAGUUUCGGUUAUGAUAUUGAUAGAACAUUUAAUUUUAAUCUCUCUCAAGAACUGAACAAUGCAUGCAUGUUUCUUUAAACGUUAAAAUAUCACAAUGUUUCUUCAUUGCGACCCUGUUGCUAGGAAGGUAUGUAUUUGUCACAUUGAGAAUUGCUGAAAGUUUGAAAUGUUGAUGAAUUAUUAACUCCUGUAGAGUUACAUGCAGAUUUUGGAGGCCUUAUCAGCAGAGGGCAUGAUUGCCCCUUCAUCUUUUAAAACAGUAGGGCAUAUCGCACACCUGAGCCUUAGAGAUGAGCAUUUACCUUUCAAAAAUCUCAUAGCAAAGAUGCAUAGUUCUAGUUACAUGUUUACUAUUUUGACCAUAUAAACUUGCGAACUGACUUCUAAAGAAGGUUUUGUUCUUCUUCGGCUAGUUUUGGAUUAAACAAGCCACAAUUGCAAACUGUUGUCAAAUAAAACUGAUGACAUCCAUAAUGACUACAGAACCAUGCAACUUGAGGUUCUAGCUGGAGUUCAUUCCCUUGUGACCGUUGUAGUUGAGAAUGGAUUGCGAUUUAAUGUUGAUUUAGCUAUGGUAUAUGUUUUCCUUUCUUUUCAAGUUAUGAAAAAUUCAUCUAAAUGUUCUGAUGUCUGCUCCUUCUGGUGAGCAUAAUGUCAUAUCUUUGCACAAAGACUGCAGAGCUCUCUUUAAGCAAAGCAAGCCCAUGUAACGGCUAGGGUCGUGCAUUGCUCCUAUAUCUGAGUCAGGCAUCUGGUGCUGACUUUGAGUGACACAUUUGUAGCUAAGUCUUAAUUCAGCUUCUUUGAAGUCGCUGUGAGACACCUGGUAGACACCUGGAUUGACCACAUUUCCCCGUGUCAUAGUAAUAUAUCAGAGAAAAUCACUUGUAUUUUCAUAUACCUUAAAUGUGAUUUCGUAUUGGUAUCAUCAAAGUCAUCUACUAUACCUCAUGUUAUCAACUAAAGAUACGAUUUCUGAGACUAUUACUGGACAGUUAGCAGCAUCCCUUUCAGUGAGUCAAAAAUGUGUCUAAUUAUGAAUAUGUCAACCAUGACCUGUGUAAUAGAUCCUCAUUAGUGUCCAAAAAAAGGAAAACAACAAGCAUCUGAUGAAUUCAUCUCUCAUGCAGAUAUCAGAAUUCAAAGUUUGCAACUGAAAGGCAAAGGCUUCUGAAUGGUUCGAUCACAAAGAUGUGGUUUUUAUGUUUGUAACUUGACCAUAUUAACUAUGGUAGCUUACAGAUUAUUAUUGAUACCUUCUAACAUAUGGGUCCUUUGUAAAACUACUAUUACAUUUCUCAGUUUCUGGGGCGGAGUUUAGCACAGCUGAGAUGUUUACAUGUGUACUUCUUUGUUUCCUUUUUUUUUUCCCCUUGAUUUGACAGGUGAUGUUUUUGCUGGUGUUAGUCCAGUUGCUGUAUCUGCAGCAAAGAUAGUGCAACGUGUAUAUGCUAACGAUUUGAAUCCUUUUGCAGUUGACUUCCUGGAAAGAAAUGGUGUCCUCAACAAACUUGAGAGAAAAUAGAGGUCUAUAUGGGAGGAGGUUCAUUGAUGCUAUGUUUGCCAGUGACAAAGCUCAGUCCAUAACACAAAUGGUUAUGAAUUCACCAAAUGAUGCAGCAGACUUUGUAGGCGUGUUGCAAACCCCAUCACAAACUCUCUUUUGUUCUAUAAUCAUUAGUAAAUUUGAGAGUUACUGAUAGAAUCUGGAUGAUGGGCAGAUAUCACAGUAUAUAUGUUACAAAAGAAUUGCUUUUGUUAGAAAAGACCCAUAUGUUAAUCAACAAAAUGCCAAGUAUGUUGAUCAUCUCUUUGUUCUCUGUCUGAUGCUUCUGUUUCUCUUUUUUCAUUUUUGUGUCUCACUGCUGCGUAUGGGAAUUGCUUUGUCAGACGUAACUGUCUUGUUGCCCCAGGAAAAUGGAUGUUAUGGGCAUCAUUUGUUCUACCAGAGAGUGUAGCAUUUGCAAAGAGUCAUGAAAUAAGUAGAUCACAUUAAAAGCUACAAUUCAUGUAUCAUAAUAUUCAUUUCUCUUGUACCUCACAGUUCUAUUUCCUGUCUUUCUAGCUACUUCCUCAAUUGUAUUUCAAUCUUCAGUUGUUUGUUAUAGUGCAAUGUCCUGUAACCAAAACUGUAAUUAUUU